GACCUCAAAUCAGGUAGGACUACCCGCUGAACUUAAGCAUAUCAAUAAGCGGAGGAAAAGAAACUAACAAGGAUUCCCCUAGUAACUGCGAGUGAAGCGGGAAAAGCUCAAAUUUAAAAUCUGGCGGUCUUUGGCCGUCCGAGUUGUAGUCUGGAGAAGUGCUUUCCGCGCUGGACCGUGUAC
Molecule: ribosomal RNA, 183 nt
Rfam family: Eukaryotic large subunit ribosomal RNA